CUACGGGAGGCAGCAGUAGGGAAUCUUCCACAAUGGGCGCAAGCCUGAUGGAGCAACACCGCGUGAGUGAAGAAGGGUUUCGGCUCGUAAAGCUCUGUUGUUAAAGAAGAACACGUAUGAGAGUAACUGUUCAUACGUUGACGGUAUUUAACCAGAAAGUCACGGCUAACUACGUGCCAGCAGCCGCGGUAAU
Molecule: ribosomal RNA, 193 nt
Filed under: uncultured bacterium
Lineage: Bacteria
Description: partial 16S ribosomal RNA
Rfam family: Bacterial small subunit ribosomal RNA
Source: RNAcentral